This 68-nucleotide transfer RNA is filed under the name Platycheirus albimanus. Its description in RNAcentral is "tRNA-Gly". The record is from RNAcentral. Lineage: Eukaryota; Metazoa; Arthropoda; Insecta; Diptera; Syrphidae.
AUUUAUAUAGUAUAAAAAGUAUAUAUGACUUCCAAUCAUAAAGUUUAUUAUUAAUAAUAAUAUAAAUA